UACGGAGGGUGCAAGCGUUAUCCGGAUUCACUGGGUUUAAAGGGAGCGUAGGUGGGUUGGUAAGUCAGUGGUGAAAUCCCCGAGCUUAACUUGGGAACUGCCAUUGAUACUAUCAGUCUUGAAUACUGUGGAGGUUAGCGGAAUAUGUCAUGUAGCGGUGAAAUGCUUAGAUAUGACAUAGAACACCAAUUGCGAAGGCGGCUGGCUACACAAUUAUUGACACUGAGGCUCGAAAGCGUGGGGAUCAAACAGG
RNAcentral lists this ribosomal RNA (253 nucleotides) under uncultured bacterium. RNAcentral's name for it is "partial 16S ribosomal RNA". It matches the Rfam family "Bacterial small subunit ribosomal RNA", at positions 524 to 776 of the family's 1533-position model. The record is from RNAcentral.